Molecule: long non-coding RNA, 560 nt
Filed under: Rattus norvegicus (Norway rat)
Lineage: Eukaryota; Metazoa; Chordata; Mammalia; Rodentia; Muridae
Description: long non-coding RNA NONRATT010175
Source: RNAcentral
ACAGCCGAAAAGGGAAGCUUAUUUUCUUCUAUGAAUGGAACAUCAAGCUGGCCUGGAAAGGUAAUGGGGUCCUGGCAGGAGGCAGGUUGGGGACACCCUGUGUACAGUCCGGUGUUCGGAUGUGCUUGGUGUUGCUGGGUUCUGAAAGCUGCACUUCUCCACCACUCGACGCUUGAGGGGGCAGUACUCUGGGGGGGGGGGGGCUUUUUACCAGCAUCUGUGACUAGGGCCUCCUUCCCUCAAAAAUGUUUAUUUCAAAACUUAAAAAUUAUUUACGUGUGUGUGCACACACUUGGGUGUCAUAGCACGUGUAGAAGGCAAAGACAGCUUGCAGAAUUCAGUUCUACCAUGUGGUCUCCCAGGAUUGAACUGGGGUUAGCAGGGUUGGUUCAUAGCAAGCGCUUUUACACUCUGCUUUUACACCUUGCUAGCUUACUCUUGUUAUCUUAAAAAAUUAUGGGGGCUGGGGAUUUAGCUCAGUGGUAGAGCGCUUACCUAGGAAGCGCAAGGCCCUGGGUUCGGUCCCCAGCUCCGAAAAAAAAAAAGAACCAAAAAAAAAA